This 447-nucleotide ribosomal RNA is filed under the name uncultured bacterium. RNAcentral describes it as "partial 16S ribosomal RNA". It matches the Rfam family "Bacterial small subunit ribosomal RNA", at positions 29 to 523 of the family's 1533-position model. The record is from RNAcentral.
AACGAACGCUGGCGACAGGCCUAACACAUGCAAGUCGAACGCCCCGCAAGGGGAGUGGCGCACGGGUGAGUAACGCGUGGGAAUAUGCCCUUCGGUUCGGAAUAACUCAGGGAAACUUGGGCUAAUACCGGAUACGGACUACGGUCGAAAGAUUUAUCGCCGAGGGAGUAGCCCGCGUAGGAUUAGCUAGUUGGUGAGGUAAUGGCUCACCAAGGCGACGAUCCUUAGCUGAUCUGAGAGGAUGAUCAGCCACACCGGGACUGAGACACGGCCCAGACUCCUACGGGAGGCAGCAGUGGGGAAUAUUGGACAAUGGGGGCAACCCUGAUCCAGCCAUGCCGCGUGAGUGAUGAAGGCCUUAGGGUUGUAAAGCUCUUUCGUCGGGGAAGAUAAUGACGGUACCCGAAGAAGAAGCCUCGGCUAACUCCGUGCCAGCAGCCGCAGUAA